CGUUUACGCGGCCUGUUGUAGAACCGAGGAGGCCUGGUCAAUUCCACCAUUCAUUUGUGCUUCAAAAAUUCGUCACAGCUCUGAAUUCUCAAAAUUUGAAACUGAUCCAGACUUGGACAUUCAAGCCACCAGAACAAUUUUGACAGUCGAACCAGAGCACCACUCGUUUUAUGCAGCAUCGUGACUAACGAAGGGAACGGAUCAAUCAUCGGACCCAAGCUUGGACCCUGAAAUUAUUGAAGAGGAAAGAGUCCGACAGGCCAGUCUCUUUUGUGGUUCGACACUUGGGACGGAAGCAGAAGAGCCGCAGCGAGAUCCAACAAGAGAGAACAAACUGUAAUUAUCAAGCCUAAGGGAAAUCAACGUGCUGAUGUGACAAAUCAAGAAUAUUCUCUCGAAGAUAUAUUCUGCUGCUUUUUCGGUCAAAAAUGUUCGAUGCAUGGAGAACGGUAACGUUUCCGUACGGAAACAAGUGAUCAUGGAUAAAAAUCAUUGGUCUGUCCGAAGAUUUAAGUGCUGGUGAAAUUGACCUCAAAUUGAAAAAGCAAAACAAUCUUCCGCUCUCCUCGGACAUUUGAAACUUUGAUCCUUUGAUCAAGCUGCAACGCGUCUACCUGUAGAGUGGCUGAAGAAAUCAAUGUCUACCGCUACUUCAAAUGUUCCAUGUCUGGCCAUACAGCAUGUUCCUGAAACAACUCUACUUGCUGUCUCAUAUGUGCUGGUGAUCAUGAAGCAAAAGAAUGUGAAUCUACUUUCAUAAAGUGUGUUAACUGUGAACUGGUGAACAAACUGCGUAACCUUGCAACUGAUAUAUUCCUGGAUCGAACUACAUCGACUCUGGCACGCAACGAUGUUGGUACUAUGAAAGCCACCGAUCCUCCCACCACAGUCCUGCCACUGUAGCCGUCGUUCAACAAUCUUCCCGACCCUGUGUGUGGGAUUGGAUAAGUGGUCUUCCAACCUGAAACUGCAGUUCCAGCGCUACGCCGAUUGAUCAACUAUAUUCUGUCAGCUUGACACUGGAACACAAUGAUGUUGGCACCAUGGAAGCCCCUAAUCUCUCUGCCACAGUCGGGCUAUUCUACUUCCUGCUUUGUCAGAUGCUGAGAUGCCUGACCUGUUAUAUGGAAGGAUUAUGCACGAGGAGCGAUUCGAAUCCCCCCAGUUUUGAAGACAUUAAGAACUGAUGUUCCAUUGCCCUGGUCAGAUGGCUGGUGGUGAAGGAAAACAAUAAGUACAUGGAAACCAGAAAAAACUAUCUAUUUUAAUACUCUCGCCCGCACGUCCCAUUGCACUACAAAUAAAAUUCGCUUUCUAAUCAGUCCCGACCAGGGUCCGGAAGGAACGCUAUUACAUUACAUUGAACUUGCACCAUGCUUCCGUCAAACCACUGUUGACACUGCAUUUAGCAUAUGUGGGUAAGGAACCAAUAAUGCCAGUCAAGUGGCUGGUAGGGGUAAAAUGCCCACUUGUAGAAAAACAACGAUAACAUUUCCUCAGAUGCUCAGAUGUGGGUAACGGAUUGUGCUUGUUUUCAUCUGGAGGUUUCACAAAUAUUUCCAGAUCAUGAAAUCCAACUGAUUCUUUAAUAAAAUUAUAUGUUGUGCAAAACACGACACCUUUAUUAAAAUCAUCGACUUCAAAUUAAACGUUUAACAGCAUAUAUCACAAAGGAAUGACAUGAAUUCACUUAUCGUAUAUUAUUU
This is a long non-coding RNA of Ochlerotatus camptorhynchus, 1706 nucleotides long. RefSeq lists it as uncharacterized. NCBI's taxonomy places the organism in Eukaryota, Metazoa, Arthropoda, Insecta, Diptera, Culicidae. The transcript has 5 exons. The record is from RefSeq and is a predicted model, not a curated record.